Molecule: ribosomal RNA, 407 nt
Filed under: uncultured bacterium
Lineage: Bacteria
Description: partial 16S ribosomal RNA
Rfam family: Bacterial small subunit ribosomal RNA
Source: RNAcentral
GACGAACGCUGGCGGCGUGCUUAACACAUGCAAGUCGAACGAAGUGGCGAACGGGUGAGUAACGCGUAAUCAACCUGCCCUUCAGAGGGGGACAACAGUUGGAAACGACUGCUCAUACCGCAUACUGAAGGAGGGGAUUGCGUCGGAUGAGCUAGUUGGAGGAGUAACGGCCCACCAAGGCGAUGAUCAGUAGCCGGUCUGGGAGGAUGAACGGCCACAUUGGGACUGAGACACGGCCCAGACUCCGACGGGAGGCAGCAGUGGGGAAUAUUGCACAAUGGGCGCAAGCCUGAUGCAGCCAUGCCGCGUGGAUGAAGAAGGCCUUCGGGUUGUAAAGUACUUUCAGCGGGGAGCGGUACCAACAGAAUAAGCACCGGCUAACUUCGUGCCAGCAGCCGCGGUAAUAC